CUGUGGUCUAAGUUCCUUGGAACAGGACGUCGCAGAGGGUGAGAAUCCCGUAUGUGGCCGCCAGUCUUCGCCGUGUAAAGCCCCUUCGACGAGUCGAGUUGUUUGGGAAUGCAGCUCUAAAUGGGAGGUAAAUUUCUUCUAAAGCUAAAUAUUGGCCAGAGACCGAUAGCGCACAAGUAGAGUGAUCGAAAGAUGAAAAGCACUUUGGAAAGAGAGUCAAAAAGCACGUGAAAUUGUUGAAAGGGAAGCGCUUGCAGCCAGACUUGCUUGCAGUUGUUCAGCCGGGCUCUUGCCCGGUCUACUCUUCUGCUCGCAGGCCAGCAUCAGUCCGGGCGGUUGGAUAAAGGCCUAUUAAACGUACCUCCCCUCGGGGAGGACUUAUAGGGUAGGUGACAUGCAACCAGCCCGGAUUGAGGUCCGCGCAUCUGCUAGGAUGCUGGCGUAAUGGCUGUAAGCGGCCCGUCUUGAAACACGGACCAAGGAGUCUAACAUCUAUGCGAGUGUUUGGGUGUCAAGCCCGAGCGCGUAAUGAAAGUGAACGGAGGUGGGAACCUUUCGGGGUGCACCAUCGACCGAUCCUGAUGUCUUCGGAUGGAUUUGAGUAAGAGCAUAGCUGUUGGGACCCGAAAGAUGGUGAACUAUGCCUGAAUAGGGUGAAGCCAGAGGAAACUCUGGUGGAGGCUCGCAGCGGUUCUGACGUGCAAAUCGAUCGUCAAAUUUGGGCAUAGGGGCGAAAGACUAAUCGA
RNAcentral lists this ribosomal RNA (746 nucleotides) under Angustimassarina acerina. Its description in RNAcentral is "eukaryotic LSU rRNA". It matches the Rfam family "Eukaryotic large subunit ribosomal RNA", at positions 174 to 938 of the family's 3401-position model. Lineage: Eukaryota; Fungi; Ascomycota; Dothideomycetes; Pleosporales; Amorosiaceae. The record is from RNAcentral.